This 460-nucleotide ribosomal RNA is filed under the name uncultured bacterium. Its description in RNAcentral is "partial 16S ribosomal RNA". It matches the Rfam family "Bacterial small subunit ribosomal RNA", at positions 338 to 795 of the family's 1533-position model. The record is from RNAcentral.
CCUACGGGAGGCAGCAGUGAGGAAUAUUGGUCAAUGGUCGCGAGACUGAACCAGCCAAGCCGCGUGAGGGAUGACGGUACAGAGGAUCGUAAACUUCUUUUGUCAGGGAAUAAAGUCGGGCACGUGUGCCUUGUUGUGUGUACUUUAUGAAAAAGGAUCGGCUAACUCCGUGCCAGCAGCCGCGGUAAUACGGAGGAUGCGAGCGUUAUCCGGAUUUAUUGGGUUUAAAGGGUGCGGAGGGGGGUUGUUAAGUCAGGUGUGAACGUUUGUGGCUCAACCGCAACCUCGCAGGUGAUACUGGCAGUCUUGAGUAGAGGAGAGGUAGGCGGAAUGCGCGGUGUAGCGGUGAAAUGCUUAGAUAUCACGCAGAACUCCGAUUGCGAAGGCAGCAUACCAAAUCGACACUGACACUGAGGCUCGAAAGCGUGGGUAUCAAACAGGAUUAGAUACCCCAGUAGUC